This 241-nucleotide ribosomal RNA is filed under the name uncultured bacterium. RNAcentral's name for it is "partial 16S ribosomal RNA". It matches the Rfam family "Bacterial small subunit ribosomal RNA", at positions 15 to 252 of the family's 1533-position model. The record is from RNAcentral.
GAUCAUGGCUCAGGAUGAACGCUGGCGGCGUGCUUAACACAUUCAAGUCGAACGGAGAACGGGGAGCUUGCUCCCCGGGAUCAGUGGCGGACGGGUGAGUAACGCGUAAGCAACCUGCCUGUGUGUGGGGGAUAACACCCGGGAAACGGGUGCUAAUACCGCAUAACGCAACGGAGCCGCAUGACUUUGUUGCAAAGAAUAUAUUGCGCACAGAUGGGCUCGCGUCUGAUUAGAUAGUUGG